This is a long non-coding RNA of Sinocyclocheilus rhinocerous, 129 nucleotides long. RefSeq lists it as uncharacterized. The record is from RefSeq and is a predicted model, not a curated record. The transcript has 3 exons. NCBI's taxonomy places the organism in Eukaryota, Metazoa, Chordata, Actinopteri, Cypriniformes, Cyprinidae.
UCCGCGCUCAUGUUAACGGAUUAAUAAAACGUUCAUACUGUACACAGUUGCGGUCCAUCAGUGCGUUCCAUGAGCGGUGCGUCUGCAACAGUGCAGAGAUCGUUUCCGCACCGAGGGUGCGUCAGAAAU